UAUCCAUGGCUGCUUCUAGGUUUAACGAAACUCCCCUUCACUCAUUCAUGGGCCACCCAAUGUUAAGGAUUAUAAGUAUCAGAUUGGUAUAUACAUACCCACAGCCCACGGGGUCGGAAACUAACGAGGUAAGUAAUUCUUCAUACAAAACAUUUCAAGAAAACCCAUAUAGCCAUUGCCAGUGAACUUCUUGUUAAAAGCAGGUUUGCGUGUACCACAAGGUAUUGCUGAUGCUAGUACUGUCGUUCAUGUUCAGAAACACAGAUACAGUGUCGUUUCCUGAAGUGGUUGACAAUGAUACUUUCCUGUUCAUAUCUUCGUUCUGCUCAGGAGGACACUCUUCCGCCUUGGUCUGAGGUUACGGUAGAUUUUGUUUUUUGGGUAUAGGAAACAAAUUUUCAGAAUUGGAAACGUUGUUUUCUGACAACAACUGUGAAUUGGAGUUUAGAGAACACACACCAGAAGAUCGUUUGCGUUUAAGAGGGAAGUGAAAACAUUGUCCAGAACGCAAGCGUACUUAACAUGUUUCUUGACCUAGCUCUACCUUGCUGCCUUAUCACAGCAAAUCUCUGAGGCUUGGUUUUGUUUUUUUUCUCUUUUGUUUUGAUCUGUUCUUGUGCAGGUCAAAUGUUGCAGCAACUUUUACAUGGCCUUGAUCAUUGGCACACCCUUGGUGUAUUGCAUGGGGACAUAAAGGACUCCAACCUUCUGAUAGAUAAUAAUGGAGUUCUAAAGAUUGCUGACUUUGGCCUGGCUUGUUUCUUCGAUCCUCGUCAAACUCUGCCUUUGACAAGCCGUGUGGUUACUCUUUGGUACCGACCACCCGAACUUUUGCUCGGAGCAACUCACAAUGGUGUUGUAGUAGAUUUAUGGAGUACAGGCUGCAUUCUUGCUGAACUAUAUGCAGAUGCCCGGUGGAACGGUAGCACAAAAUCUUCAAGCUAUGUGGCUCGCCUUCCGAUGACUGCCGGAGAAAAUCAUAGCUGCCUCAUGAGUCAUGCUACAAUUUUCAGCUGUAUCGACGUGUUGUGACUGUUAGCGGACUAAAUGAGCUAGAGACGAGUUUGGAGCAUGGAGCAACAACAGAAGAAGUCACCAAUCAGCAAAGCAACCAAUAUGGAAAGUCAUCAUCAAAUUGACAACCGUUGGAGAAUGCAGAACAUAUGGAGAUCAUAUCAGCAACUUUCCCUCUAGCAUUCAUACACCAAUAUUACAUAUAUUCAUGUAUCCUGUAAUUGUAUACUUUCCAUUUUCAUCUUUCUAGGUUUCUUGUAUAUAUAUUGUAUAUUAUCUAAGGUCUGAAUAUAUGAGAGAAAUACUUUUCUUCCAA
This is an RNA transcript of Tarenaya hassleriana, 1330 nucleotides long. It is a transcript of the gene named probable serine/threonine-protein kinase At1g54610, with no coding region annotated. The record is from RefSeq and is a predicted model, not a curated record. The transcript is spliced from 3 exons. Lineage: Eukaryota; Viridiplantae; Streptophyta; Magnoliopsida; Brassicales; Cleomaceae.